UACAGAGGUGGCAAGCGUUGUUCGGAAUUACUGGGCGUAAAGGGCGCGCAGGCGGCCCGGAAAGUCGGAUGUGAAAACUCGGGGCUCAACCCCGAGCGUGCACCCGAUACUGCCGGGCUUGAGGCAGGUAGGGGAGAUCGGAAUUCCUGGUGUAGCGGUGAAAUGCGUAGAGAUCAGGAAGAACAUCGGUGGCGAAGGCGCUCUGCUGGACCAUAACUGACACUCAGGGACGAAAGCUAGGGGAGCGAAUGGG
This 253-nucleotide ribosomal RNA is filed under the name uncultured bacterium. RNAcentral describes it as "partial 16S ribosomal RNA". It matches the Rfam family "Bacterial small subunit ribosomal RNA", at positions 524 to 776 of the family's 1533-position model. The record is from RNAcentral.